UACGUAGGGGGCAAGCGUUGUCCGGAUUUAUUGGGCGUAAAGAGCUCGUAGGCGGUGUGUCGCGUCGGCCGUGAAAACUUGCAGCUUAACUGUGGGCGUGCGGUCGAUACGGGCAUCACUGGAGUUCGGCAGGGGAGACUGGAAUUCCUGGUGUAGCGGUGAAAUGCGCAGAUAUCAGGAGGAACACCGGUGGCGAAGGCGGGUCUCUGGGCCGAUACUGACGCUGAGGAGCGAAAGCGUGGGGAGCGAACAGG
This 254-nucleotide ribosomal RNA is filed under the name uncultured bacterium. RNAcentral's name for it is "partial 16S ribosomal RNA". It matches the Rfam family "Bacterial small subunit ribosomal RNA", at positions 524 to 776 of the family's 1533-position model. The record is from RNAcentral.